CUCGGCCCCUCCCUGCCUUCUUUCCUGGUUCUGCAUGAAGCUCAUUCCCUUUCUCCCUUCAGUUAUGGCCCAGCCAGGGGCCCCUCACCAAGAUACUAUUGCCAUGUCAUUGGAUCCUCCAGCCAUAAGAAUCAUGAGCCAAGGAAAUCUCUUUAUAAGUUAUCAGGUGGACCCUAAACACAGUCCCAAGUAGUCUUCCAGGAGAGAGGCAGGGGGAGGCUCAACGUGGAUCAGAGAGGACAAGACAGAGAUGGACACAAGCCCAAGAAUGCCAGCAGCCACACAAAACUGGGAGAGAUUCGCCACCUGCUGCACAAGUGGCAAGGACCUGAGUUCGAUUCCUGGUACCAAGAAAAAGGAAAAGAAAACUGGGAGAGAUAAGGGACAACUUCUUACUAAUGAGAUCUCCUCCUCUACAACCUCUUGUUGUUGGAAGACAAUCACCUACAAUCCCGAAGUAAAAGACAGAGAGGAAGAAUCAUUGGCUCAGCUGUGAUCACAUGACAGCCGGCAUCACAUACCACGCAUAUUGGAAAUUCGUCACAGGAAACUUGGGAUACUAAUGCACCAGGGACUCCUGUCAAUGGCCCUGCUCCACCCAAAAAGGACCUUUCAAGAAUGCAGAGUCCCCAAGUGACAUGGAAAUUGUCAUAGUCAUGUUGCCUCAGGGUCCAACUGUUAUGUCACUACUUUUUAGCUGUAAACUUUGACAAAUGGCCUAACCUCUCUGAACCUGUUUCUUUAUCAAAAAAAAAAUAAAGAUAACUAUACCACCACCUGAAAUUGCUUGGAGAUGAAAUGAGAGAGCACACAUCAGCCAGAGCCUGGCAUGUCAUAUCCUGGCCAUCAG
Long non-coding RNA from Heterocephalus glaber (naked mole-rat), 850 nucleotides. The record is from Ensembl. NCBI's taxonomy places the organism in Eukaryota, Metazoa, Chordata, Mammalia, Rodentia, Bathyergidae.